CGUAGGUGGCAAGCGUUGUCCGGAUUUAUUGGGUUUAAAGGGUGCGUAGGCGGUUCUAUAAGUCAGUGGUGAAAUCCGGCAGCUUAACUGUCGAUGUGCCAUUGAUACUGCAGAACUUGAGUACAGACGAGGUAGGCGGAAUUGACGGUGUAGCGGUGAAAUGCUUAGAUAUCGUCAAGAACACCGAUAGCGAAGGCAGCUUACUAGACUGUAACUGACGCUGAUGCACGAAAGUGUGGGGAUCAAACAGGAUUAGAUACCCUGGUAGUCCACACUGUAAACGAUGAUUACUCGAUGUUAGCGAUACACAGUUAGCGUCUUAGCGAAAGCGAUAAGUAAUCCACCUGGGGAGUACGCCGGCAACGGUG
RNAcentral lists this ribosomal RNA (368 nucleotides) under uncultured organism. Its description in RNAcentral is "bacterial SSU rRNA". It matches the Rfam family "Bacterial small subunit ribosomal RNA", at positions 526 to 896 of the family's 1533-position model. The record is from RNAcentral.